Andrographis paniculata is the source of this 580-nucleotide long non-coding RNA. RefSeq lists it as uncharacterized. The record is from RefSeq and is a predicted model, not a curated record. The transcript is spliced from 5 exons. Lineage: Eukaryota; Viridiplantae; Streptophyta; Magnoliopsida; Lamiales; Acanthaceae.
UCUCCACCUUCGUCGGCCAUUAAUCGCACUCCACCGCCGUCUUCCUCGACCUGUCGAUAGCGAGUCACCGCUGCUUACCAACGUCCUGAAACGCUAACCCUGGAUCUUUCCGUAGACAGGCUUCAGACGUUGUACAGAAGUUGGGAAGAUGAGCCGGAUGUUGGGUAGAGAGACAAGGCAUUUGCAGCUAGUGGUGAUAUUGUGUCCAUCUAUAAUAUGCUGAAAGAAGGUUAUACCAUUAAUAUAGUAAAGGUUUUUUUCACGGCUGCUACCGUUCCGGAGGCUGCGCUAAUUCAUGAACGAUAUCUGAAGUGCAAACACUCUGUGAGUUUGUCCAUGUCGAGCCAAUCGACUGGACAUUCAAGAAUCUCAUUCGUCACGCGUAACUGUCGUGUAUAUUCACUUUGACGCUGCAUAGGGCGAUGCAGUGUUGCAUGUAAUUCUAUGAUGAUAACUUUUGUUUGUGGAUUGAUACCGACUAAGUCCUUUACUUAGGUUGAACUUGCAUAUGUUGUUUCCUUUUGUGUGUUUGUUGCUAUGCUUUGCCUUUGGAUUGUAUAUGUUGGUUGUAUUGCUAACU